ACGAAGCUGCUAAAAGGAAGUCUUCGGAUGAAAUUUAGGUAGACUUAGUGGCGGACGGGUGAGUAACGCGUGGAUAACCUGCCUUAUACAGGGGGAUAACGGAGAGAAAUUUCCGCUAAGACCGCAUAAGACCACAGCACCGCAUGGUGCAGGGGUAAAAUAUUUAUAGGUAUAAGAUGGAUCCGCGUCCGAUUAGCUAGUUGGUGAGGUAAAGGCCCACCAAGGCGACGAUCGGUAGCCGGCCUGAGAGGGUGAACGGCCACAUUGGGACUGAGACACGGCCCAAACUCCUACGGGAGGCAGCAGUGGGGAAUAUUGGACAAUGGGGGAAACCCUGAUCCAGCGACGCCGCGUGAGUGAAGAAGUAUUUCGGUAUGUAAAGCUCUAUCAGCAGGGAAGAAAAUGACGGUACCUGACUAAGAAGCCCCGGCUAACUACGUGCCAGCAGCCGCGGUAAUACGUAGGGGGCAAGCGUUAUCCGGAUUUACUGGGUGUAAAGGGAGCGCAGACGGCAAUGCAAGUCUGAAGUGAAAGGCGUGGGCUCAACCCAUGAACUGCUUUGGAAACUGUAUAGCUUGAGUGUCGGAGGGGUAAGCGGAAUUCCUAGUGUAGCGGUGAAAUGCGUAGAUAUUAGGAGGAACACCGGAGGCGAAGGCGGCUUACUGGACGACAACUGACGUUGAGGCUCGAAGGCGUGGGGAGCAAACAGGAUUAGAUAGCCCUGGUAGUCCACGCAGUAAACGAUGAAUACUUGGUGUCGGGGAGGUAAACUCUUCGGUGCCGCAAGCAAACGC
This 794-nucleotide ribosomal RNA is filed under the name uncultured Eubacterium sp. RNAcentral describes it as "bacterial SSU rRNA". It matches the Rfam family "Bacterial small subunit ribosomal RNA", at positions 53 to 858 of the family's 1533-position model. The record is from RNAcentral. Lineage: Bacteria; Bacillati; Bacillota; Clostridia; Eubacteriales; Eubacteriaceae.